Molecule: long non-coding RNA, 376 nt
Organism: Oryzias melastigma (Indian medaka)
Lineage: Eukaryota; Metazoa; Chordata; Actinopteri; Beloniformes; Adrianichthyidae
Exons: 2
Source: RefSeq, a predicted model, not a curated record
UUGUUCGUGUGUCCAGAGAUUGUGUUUGCACGAUUUGUUGCAUUUAAGAGGGAACUGGCCAGGUUCCAUCUCCACUCGAUCUUGUCCUUCGAUGGUGAGCUGCUUGGAAUCCUCUAUAACUUGUGCGGUAAGAGGUGCAGUGGCCCUGUCCUCUCCCACUUAACACCUCGCAUUGCCUCUACUAAAGACACAGUGCAUCUCUUUUUUCCUGGACAAUAGGAUCGGGACUAAAUUCUCUGAGUUACAGCGAUCAGCUGGGACCUCAUGAACUCUUUGAACAUUUGUAGACGUCUUGUGUGUUUGUGUGUUGUUGUAUAUGUAUAUAUUGUAAAUGUCUUUUGGGGUCAACUAUAUAAAUUUUCACUCCUGCACCGUA